This 36-nucleotide transfer RNA is filed under the name Schizanthus pinnatus (butterfly flower). RNAcentral describes it as "partial tRNA-Phe". The record is from RNAcentral. Lineage: Eukaryota; Viridiplantae; Streptophyta; Magnoliopsida; Solanales; Solanaceae.
AUAGCUGGGAUAGCUCAGUUGGUAGAGCAGAGGACU